RNAcentral lists this unclassified non-coding RNA (281 nucleotides) under Hevea brasiliensis (rubber tree). Lineage: Eukaryota; Viridiplantae; Streptophyta; Magnoliopsida; Malpighiales; Euphorbiaceae. The record is from RNAcentral.
AUUUUUGUUUUUGUAAAGGAAAUUUCCUUUCAUCAAGAUGAGCUUGGCGAGUCUAUCUCCUUAGAAGGGUAGAGAGUUUGGGGGGAAGACAAUGUGGAGAGAAGGAAUGAGGGGGUGAAUUGCUUUCAAUUAUAUGUAUGGGAAGUAAAGUCAUUGUCAAUUAUAGUAAAGUCACAAUGCUUUAUUUUUUUCACCCUAUAACUUGAGUUCCAGGAAGGUUGGAGUCUUGCUGAGCUUUUUCAGGUCCGUUGCAUUGUGGUUGCUCCUUAUGUUGUUCCCUA